RNAcentral lists this ribosomal RNA (2550 nucleotides) under Triticum aestivum (bread wheat). Its description in RNAcentral is "partial small subunit ribosomal RNA". The record is from RNAcentral. Lineage: Eukaryota; Viridiplantae; Streptophyta; Magnoliopsida; Poales; Poaceae.
AUGGCCUCGCCACGCGAGCGACGCGUCCGCACUAUCCUCCACCAUCAGGCCCGGCACAUUCUGCUCGAGCCAGUAACCUUGCGGCUGCCCAGAUCGUCGGCAGUCCGCCGUCCUGCUCGUCUUUGUGGAGAGCUGCUCCUCGCACACGCUCUCCGUCGUGCGUCCAGAAUCCGGCGACGGCCGUGUGCCGGAGCAUCCCUCCUCCGGCGCCCACUCAACCACGAUGACCUGCCUGCGCGUCACCACCUCGAAACCGUCCGCGGCAGCCGUGCGAGCCCGUCUGCGGCGACCAUGCCCGGCUGGACUACCAAGAGGAACGACACGACGCCGUUUUUACUGGAUCUCACGUGGGGCCUGCGUUCUUUGGCUGUGUUGCGUGAGCUUGGUGGGUGGGCGUGUUUCGUGUCGGUGAGGCGUGUGGCUAUAUGCCGAGACGCAGCCGGCUCGCCACCGGUGUCCCUUCGCCGGCUCAUCGCCGUACGUGACCACUGCCCAGCCGCUGAAGCCGCCAAGGUCGUACCGCGUCCUGCCCCACCCACAGACCAGCCCAUCGCUUCUCUUGCGGCCGCCGCCGAUAUCGGGGCCAGCGUUGCCAGGGAAAGCAAGGAGAAAAAGAAGACCAGGAGGAAGAACAGAAGGAAGUCGGCAUCGUUCGCGUGCCUUCUGAACGCUCUGCUUUGCAACCGGAAGCCGCCGACCGCCGGCAAGCGGCGGGGGGUCGCGGUGGACAAGGAGGAGCACGCCCAUCGAGCUAGGAUGAUGGCGAGGAUGACCAAUGCUAGCGGGAGAGAGGGACAGGUCAAGGAGAGCAACGAGCCCAACUCCGACCUGUUCGAGCUUGAGAGCUUGCCGCUGGCGCUGGACGAUACAAUAUGUAUAUGCCAACACACCAUCCUCAGAUAUUGCUUUGGGUUUGGUGGUUUAACCACUAAAAGAAACAAACAGAGCUCCAUCGUCAAGAAACCACCACCGAGUUGCUUGCCGGAAUCAAUGGCGACCACCAAGAAGAGGGAGAUGGUGUUCUUCGACGUGGAGGCUGCGCAGUCCCCGUCGCUGCCCGGCGAGUGCAGCCUCCUGGAGUUCGCCGCCAUCCUUGUCUGCCCGCGCCGCCUCGUCGAGUCUGCCGGCCGCGCACUCCCGCCUGCGGGAAUGGCUGCCGGCGAGCGGAGCCAGGGGAUGCUGAGAUGCGGAGGCGCAGAGCUGGCCCGGAGCUCCUUCAUCCUGCCGUCCCUGUGCGCGGCGAGGCGAGAGAAGGAGAAGGAGAAGAGAGGAGUUGCAACCGAGAGAAAGGGGAUGGGUGUGUGGAGGGGAGCACGUGGGUGGGCCAGGAAGGGAAAGGGACGGGAGAGACGCUGGCAGGUGGGCCUGCGCAUGCAAAAGGCAAACACCGGCGUCCCCAGCUGCUCCCCCGGGAGCUGGGUGUGGGGUGGGCGCGCCGGCCGUAACAUUCGCCAAAUCCGGCUAAAAAUGAGCUCUUGGGUGCCUGACUGGGAAGAUUUUUUACAGCCGGCGCUAAAAAAUGGGGGAUAUAGCAGGGGACUGUUCGGCAGCAGCCUAGCUUCCAAAUCCUCUAAAUCUGUGGAGGAGUUGCACCGAACAGUCAAACUCCAGGAAGCUAGCUUCCCAGAUCUGAGGAUGCCCGACGUGCAAAAAACUGGAAGAAUAGAAAUCCCCAAUUCUUCCCUCCAAAUCCCUAGUUCUCGCCGCCGCCGUGCCCAUCCUGCCCUCUCGCCGCCGCGCGCCCAUCCUGCCCUCUCGCCGCCGCGCGCCCAUCCUGCCCUCGCCCCCGACGACCACUGCGCCAUGUCUUCUGCUAGUUCUGCCCUGUCUGGUCUCCGCGGCCGGACAGUGGUGGUGCCACUCAUCCCAUGUCCUCGCUGCCAGGCGACAGUGAGGUACUACGUUUCGAACACAGAGGAUCACGAGGGCUGGGUGUUCUAUAGAUGUCCCAAUCACUCUGCUACUGGGUGUGAUUUCUGGUUUUGGGAGAUGGAAUAUGUUGCGUACCUAGUAGAUGCUCAUUGUUUGGAUACACAACCUGAAUUGGGGCAGGGGCACCGUCGGGGCGACGAACAGGAGACAUGGCGACGGCGCCUCCUCUUCACCACCGCGAGAAGAAACCCCUCCACGCCGACCACGGCGACGACCACGCCGCACCACGGCGACGAGCACGCCGCACCAUGCCGCACCUCCGUCGCCUUCUCCGCCGGUUUGAUCGUCUCGAACAGGGGAGGUGGAGACGGGGGAGGACUGGGGGAUCUGUCUGAUAACUUGGGGGGUGGGCUACAAAUAUGCCAUCGGGUCGCUCCUCCUCGCGACACCUGGCGCGCGGACUGGGAGCCGGACGGUCAACAGGUGGUCAACAGGCGGCGAAAAGUGAGAUCUGGAGUUGGCCUAAUUUAUGAAGUAAUGCCACCGCCAAGUGAUUCACGUAACGGUUCGUUGCCUUUUCCCUCCGAUCUGGGCCAAGCCCACUCUCUCUCCCCUCCUGUCUACCUCUUGAGCCGACUGGGCUCCAGCCCGCCCAGGCAGGCUGGCCUGCUGGCGUGA